This 484-nucleotide ribosomal RNA is filed under the name uncultured bacterium. Its description in RNAcentral is "partial 16S ribosomal RNA". It matches the Rfam family "Bacterial small subunit ribosomal RNA", at positions 30 to 507 of the family's 1533-position model. The record is from RNAcentral.
AUUGAACGCUGGCGGCAGGCCUAACACAUGCAAGUCGAGCGGAUGAAGGGAGCUUGCUCCUGGAUUCAGCGGCGGACGGGUGAGUAAUGCCUAGGAAUCUGCCUGGUAGUGGGGGAUAACGUCCGGAAACGGGCGCUAAUACCGCAUACGUCCUGAGGGAGAAAGUGGGGGAUCUUCGGACCUCACGCUAUCAGAUGAGCCUAGGUCGGAUUAGCUAGUUGGUGGGGUAAAGGCAUACCAAGGCGACGAUCCGUAACUGGUCUGAGAGGAUGAUCAGUCACACUGGAACUGAGACACGGUCCAGACUCCUACGGGAGGCAGCAGUGGGGAAUAUUGGACAAUGGGCGCAAGCCUGAUCCAGCCAUACCGCGUGGGUGAAGAAGGUCUUCGGGUUGUAAAGCACUUUUAUUGGGAAAGAAAAGCAGCAGGUUAAUACCCCGCUGUUCUGACGGUACCCAAAGAAUAAGCACCGGCUAACUUCGUG